Molecule: ribosomal RNA, 700 nt
Filed under: Streptomyces griseus
Lineage: Bacteria; Bacillati; Actinomycetota; Actinomycetes; Kitasatosporales; Streptomycetaceae
Description: bacterial SSU rRNA
Rfam family: Bacterial small subunit ribosomal RNA
Source: RNAcentral
ACUCUGGGACAAGCCCUGGAAACGGGGUCUAAUACCGGAUAACACUCUGUCCCGCAUGGGACGGGGUUAAAAGCUCCGGCGGUGAAGGAUGAGCCCGCGGCCUAUCAGCUUGUUGGUGGGGUAAUGGCCUACCAAGGCGACGACGGGUAGCCGGCCUGAGAGGGCGACCGGCCACACUGGGACUGAGACACGGCCCAGACUCCUACGGGAGGCAGCAGUGGGGAAUAUUGCACAAUGGGCGAAAGCCUGAUGCAGCGACGCCGCGUGAGGGAUGACGGCCUUCGGGUUGUAAACCUCUUUCAGCAGGGAAGAAGCGAAAGUGACGGUACCUGCAGAAGAAGCGCCGGCUAACUACGUGCCAGCAGCCGCGGUAAUACGUAGGGCGCAAGCGUUGUCCGGAAUUAUUGGGCGUAAAGAGCUCGUAGGCGGCUUGUCACGUCGGAUGUGAAAGCCCGGGGCUUAACCCCGGGUCUGCAUUCGAUACGGGCUAGCUAGAGUGUGGUAGGGGAGAUCGGAAUUCCUGGUGUAGCGGUGAAAUGCGCAGAUAUCAGGAGGAACACCGGUGGCGAAGGCGGAUCUCUGGGCCAUUACUGACGCUGAGGAGCGAAAGCGUGGGGAGCGAACAGGAUUAGAUACCCUGGUAGUCCACGCCGUAAACGUUGGGAACUAGGUGUUGGCGACAUUCCACGUCGUCGGUGCC